This 301-nucleotide ribosomal RNA is filed under the name uncultured bacterium. Its description in RNAcentral is "partial 16S ribosomal RNA". It matches the Rfam family "Bacterial small subunit ribosomal RNA", at positions 509 to 807 of the family's 1533-position model. The record is from RNAcentral.
CAGCAGCCGCGGUAAUACGAAGGGUGCAAGCGUUAAUCGGAAUUACUGGGCGUAAAGCGUGCGUAGGCGGUCUGUUAAGUCUGUUGUGAAAUCCCCGGGCUCAACCUGGGAAUGGCAAUGGAUACUGGCAAGCUAGAGUGUGUCAGAGGAUGGUGGAAUUCCCGGUGUAGCGGUGAAAUGCGUAGAGAUCGGGAGGAACAUCAGUGGCGAAGGCGGCCAUCUGGGACAACACUGACGCUGAGGCACGAAAGCGUGGGGAGCAAACAGGAUUAGAUACCCCUGUAGUCCCUGUCUCUUAUAC